RNAcentral lists this ribosomal RNA (156 nucleotides) under uncultured Bacillota bacterium. RNAcentral describes it as "uncultured Firmicutes bacterium partial 16S ribosomal RNA". It matches the Rfam family "Bacterial small subunit ribosomal RNA", at positions 367 to 514 of the family's 1533-position model. Lineage: Bacteria; Bacillati; Bacillota. The record is from RNAcentral.
CGCAAUGGACGAAAGUCUGACGGAGCGACGCCGCGUGAGCGAAGAAGGUUUUCGGAUCGUAAAGCUCUGUUGUUAGGGACGAAGAAGUACCGUUCGAAUAGGGCGGUACGGUGACGGUACCUAACGAGAAAGCCCCGGCUAACUACGUGCCAGCAG